GAAAUGCGAUAAGUAAUGUGAAUUGCAGAAUUCAGUGAAUCAUCGAAUCUUUGAACGCACAUUGCGCCCUAUGGUAUUCCGUAGGGCAUGCCUGUUCGAGCGUCAUUACACACCUCAAGCUCUGCUUGGUAUUGGGCGUCGUCCCCCAAACGGACGUGCCUCAAAGACCUCGGCGGUGGCGUCUCUGCCUCAAGCGUAGUAAUAUUCUUAUCUCGCUUUGGAGUCGGAGGCGUCGCCCGCCGGACGAAACCUUUAUUACUUCUAUCAAGGUUGACCUCGGAUCAGGUAGGGAUACCCGCUGAACUUAAGC
RNAcentral lists this unclassified non-coding RNA (310 nucleotides) under plant metagenome. Its description in RNAcentral is "partial contains 5.8S ribosomal RNA, internal transcribed spacer 2, and large subunit ribosomal RNA". The stretch from base 1 to 105 matches the Rfam family "5.8S ribosomal RNA", at positions 50 to 154 of the family's 154-position model. The record is from RNAcentral.